GUCGGUUUUGAUACAGACCCACGUAUGCGAGCAAUUUUAGUAAAGCAGUCUUCAGUUAAGCGUAACGCUGACUGACCUCCUUCUUGAGUGCCUCAUAGUAAUCCCUGUUGACAAACCUCGUGCCCUAUGCGGCUUAUCUACAAUAUUGAAGGAUAGACACAUGUCUAACAAAAUGACUGGUUUAGUAAAAUGGUUCAACGCUGAGAAAGGUUUCGGCUUUAUCUCUCCAGCUGACGGCAGCAAAGACGUGUUCGUACACUUCUCUGCAAUCCAGAACCAGGGUUUCAAAACUCUGGAAGAAGGCCAGAAAGUUGAGUUCUCUAUCGAGAACGGCCAGAAAGGCCCUGCAGCUGCAAACGUUACUGCGCUGUAAGUGAUGCCUGCUUCGUUGUCAGCGAAUCGGUUAAACCGGUUCUGUUAACAACGAAAUACAAAAAACCCGCCUCUGGCGGGUUUUUUGCU
This 462-nucleotide small RNA is filed under the name Erwinia sp. Leaf53. RNAcentral describes it as "cspA thermoregulator". It matches the Rfam family "cspA thermoregulator". The record is from Rfam by way of RNAcentral. Lineage: Bacteria; Pseudomonadati; Pseudomonadota; Gammaproteobacteria; Enterobacterales; Erwiniaceae.